GCAUAUCAAUAAGCGGAGGAAAAGAAACCAACCGGGAUUACCUCAGUAACGGCGAGUGAAGCGGUAACAGCUCAAAUUUGAAAUCUGGCUCUUGCGGAGUCCGAGUUGUAAUUUGUAGAAGAUGCUUUGGGUUGUGGGUUCGGCCUAAGUUCCUUGGAACAGGACGUCAUAGAGGGUGAGAAUCCCGUAUGUGGCCGAGGCCCGCGCCUAUGUAAAGCUCUUUCAACGAGUCGAGUUGUUUGGGAAUGCAGCUCAAAAUGGGUGGUAAAUUUCAUCUAAAGCUAAAUAUGGGCCAGAGACCGAUAGCGCACAAGUAGAGUGAUCGAAAGAUGAAAAGCACUUUGGAAAGAGAGUUAAACAGUACGUGAAAUUGUUGAAAGGGAAGCGCUUGCAACCAGACUUGGGCGCUGCCGAUCACCUUGAGUUUUCUCGAGUGCACUCGACAGCGCACAGGCCAGCAUCGGUUCGGGUGGCUGGAUAAAGGCCGUAGGAAUGUGGCUCUCUUCGGGGAGUGUUAUAGCCUACGGUGCCAUGCAGCCCAGCCGGACCGAGGACCGCGCCUUCGGGCUAGGAUGCUGGCGUAAUGGUCGUAAUCCGCCCGUCUUGAAACACGGACC
This 617-nucleotide ribosomal RNA is filed under the name Oidium heveae. RNAcentral's name for it is "eukaryotic LSU rRNA". It matches the Rfam family "Eukaryotic large subunit ribosomal RNA", at positions 38 to 667 of the family's 3401-position model. The record is from RNAcentral. Lineage: Eukaryota; Fungi; Ascomycota; Leotiomycetes; Helotiales; Erysiphaceae.